RNAcentral lists this long non-coding RNA (1330 nucleotides) under Callithrix jacchus (white-tufted-ear marmoset). RNAcentral's name for it is "lncRNA (ENSCJAG00000086753.1)". Lineage: Eukaryota; Metazoa; Chordata; Mammalia; Primates; Cebidae. The record is from RNAcentral.
CUGAACGUGGCAAAGGUGCAUUCUAAAAUGUCAAGAAUAAUUGUUGCUUCUUUCAGCUCAUUUUCUUUUUGUCCUUUUCAGAAUGUCUAGAGAUGUGGUAAGCAGAGUCUGUGGUCAUAGGUGGGACACUUGGUGACAUACAACCUGGGGGACUCUCUUAUAGAAAUGAUGCUCAUGACUUGAGAGCACUCCAAGGACCCAAGCCCAUUACUGCUCACCGUUUCUAAGCACAAUCUAUUGUUAAUCCUGCAACAUCAAUGGUGAAACAGAUGAUGCCUGUGAAAUUUGUCAAGAGGAAGGAAACUGACUUUGGUGAGCUGCUCCCUGUCACCUGUGGCCUAGGUUGGAUUGGAGACAGGGUGUCGCUGGGUAAGUAAAACCAGCUCCUGGCUUUGCUCGUGAGUACUUAAUAUAAUUUUAUUUUGUAUUAUUGAGACAUAAUUCUCUGCCAUAAAUAGAAUGUCAGCCAUGUUAACUUUUUCAGGUUUAUUUCAGUUGUGUGUUACAUUGUAAAUGCCUCUUUUCCUAAGUAUAACGAGGGGGGCAGGUAGAGGGUCCAACACUUGCCAGGAUGUGGUGUUAGCAUAUUGACAAGUGUCUGAGGACCUAGAAACACAGUGAUAUUUAGCAGCAAAUAGGGUUAGCCAGAGAUGUGAACAGUAGCUUGGUGGUUCUGAUCGAUCUGAAGUGGACAAUCUGUUCAAUGCAGAUGCUGAAUCGUUUUUUUUCCCUGGGUGGCAGGAGAUCCAUAGCCCUUCUCAAUGGAGUAGGGAGAUAUUUGCGCUGGUGAUUUAGAUAAUCACAUCCACUGUUCCGCUUCACCUUCCCAGGGACAGUACAUAAGAUAGUCACUUCCUUUGUAAAACAUAAAUUCUAAAUAUUAGAAAUUCUGAUCUGUGUGACUAAUCCAGGAAUAUUUGAAAAGAAAAUCCAUUGACCAUUACUAGUAAGGGUCCUGAUACAAGGCUUUUUAUCCUUAUUUAUAGCAGAAAUUCACAUUUCAAAGCUCAUGUUUUUUUAAAUAUGAUAGCUUUAUUGUUAUGUAAUUACAUACUAUACAAUUCACCAUUGAAAAUGCGUGAUUCAAUGGCCUUUAGUAAAUUUGAUGAGUUUAGACAAUUGUUGCCAUGAUCAAUUAUAGAGCAUUUUCAACAUCCUAAAAAGAAACCUCUACCCAUCAGCAGUUAUUCUAGUUCCCUCAUAUUGUUCCUACCCCUGAAGCCCCUGUCCCUGGCUCUGAGUCCCUGGCAUCACUAAUUUACUUUCUGUCUCUGUGGAUUUGCCUAGUCUGGACAUUUUAUAUAUGAUUGAUUCUUGAACAAUGUGGAGG